GACGAACGCUGGCGGCGUGCCUAAUACAUGCAAGUCGAACGCAGUGGGGACGGGUGAGUAACACGUGGGUAACCUCCCAUCAGAGGGGAUAACACUUGGAAACAGGUGCUAAACCGAUACUGAUGGAUGGACCCGCGGUGCAUUAGCUAGUUGGUGAGGUAACGGCUCACAAGGCCACGGUGCAUAGCGACCCUGGGAGGGGGGUCGGCCACACUGGGACUGAGCCACGGCCCAGACUCCUACGGUGGGCAGCAGGAGGGAAUCGUCGGCAAUGGACGAAAGUCGGACCGAGCAACGCCGGGGGAGUGAAGAAGGUUUUCGGAUCGUAAAACUCUGUUGUUAGAGAAGCGGUAUCUAACCAGAAAGCCACGGCUAACUACGUGCCAGCAGCCGCGGUAUAC
RNAcentral lists this ribosomal RNA (401 nucleotides) under uncultured bacterium. RNAcentral describes it as "partial 16S ribosomal RNA". It matches the Rfam family "Bacterial small subunit ribosomal RNA", at positions 28 to 526 of the family's 1533-position model. The record is from RNAcentral.